GCGGCAGAAAAACAUACACGUGAUGUAACCAUCGGCCCGCAGCUGCCGACCGCACCUGUCUGAAACCUGGCGCGCACCCUUAUGUUUGGUCGGCCAACCCGUAUUUAACACACUCCUCGAGGGAAGUCCAAUGUGGAAAUCGCCAAGGACGAUCCCCGCAUUACUUUCAUUAGUAUUGUAAGAAAUGGCAAUCGCAAUUGCUCACUGUGCUUGUGGUCGUUCUUCGCAGAGGACAAAGAAUAUAUGCCCUUUAGUCUUUAUUCGCAAUCUGACAAGCUGGUGCUUUUUGUGAAAUAAAUUGAGUUGAGUUCACUGCCACUCACAGGAAAUAGGCACCAGAGUGGCGCGCCUGUAAUAAACGCCUCUCGCCCUUUGCUGUACCCCCCCAAGCCCCCGCACCCCCAAAGUAGCAACGAACGACAGCAAAAGAGGCCGGCCGCAUGGGCGGUAAUGUUGGCGGGGAAGACAGUCCUGCCCGGCAAAACAGAGGAGUGAGGGGCGGGGAAUUCCUGUAAUCCAGCGCGGCGUUCAGUAGCCUUCAUUUGAAAUGAUUGAUCACCGUGAGGCUGGCGGGGAAACCAAAGACACCUGGGUUUCUGUUUCUGCCCGUUUGCGUGCAUCGAGAAUGACCUCGCUAAGUUUAGAUGGAGCCGGGAUUCGGGGAAAACAUCCUGCUGAUUUUAUACGGGGGUAAGCUAAAUAGCAAGGCUAAGCCAGUUUCCACACAGUGGUACACUUGAGGGUGGCUGAGAGAUACAGCUCCAAAGGCUUCCUUCCCUGAGACUGUCGGCAAAAGUGCCUCAUUCUCUGUCCACCAAUUAAUGGACAGGAAAAUUGAUUGGCUCCCCCCUACACUGGCAUGCCAUGCAGAAAUGCCCCCCGCCCCCGCCGUAAAAAAAACAAAAACUGUGCACCAUCCAAAAAAAGACAGUUGACAGCAGGUUCCCAAUAUAAUGUCUGCUCUUGUGUUAAAUAGAAAGUUUAAAAUUGUCAUAUUCUGACCUGAAUAUUUUGGAUUCCAGAAAUGCAGACUCAAACUGCAACAACAAAAUAUUUAUUACAACCAGAAAAAAAAUGCAUAAAACAAAAAGCGCUUGCAAAGGCAAGGUAUGAGAGAACAGCGAGAAUACACAAACAAAAUAUCAAAAUCCUAAUAUCGCGAAAGCAAAUAGAAAGAUGGAUUCAAAAAAGAAAGGAAUCAUGAAAACACAAAGUUCUGAGACAAAACGAAAAGUUUAGAAUACAACACCUGAAAGCUCAACAGCGAGCAAAGUCAAUCAUCCGAAAAGAGGCAUGGCAGUCCUUAAACAAAUGGCGGGCUUGGUUACUAAACACCGAUCAGGUGCGCCUGUUGGAGGGAAACGCACUCCACUCCGGCUGGGGCUGAAAACAACCAAAACAGACAGAACGUGACAAAAAUAUGAGCCACACUUCCCCACCUUGCAGGGAAAAAAACCACAGCGAGAAGAGCAUAGUUACAAUCUCUGCUCUGUAUUAAAUAUCGAUGUUUCAUUUCUUCGCCGUACGUCUAAGGCGGCUUCCCACAUGGUGUUCUCGAUUUUCCAAGUGUAUUAAACGCAGAUGUGCGUGCGUGCGUGCGUGCGUGCGUGUGUGCGUGUGUGUGUGUGUGUGAGUCAAUGGGUGGCAGCCAUCUGGGGGUGCAACUGGUAUAAAUUAGACCCCCCCCCCCCCCCCACAAGCAUCCAAUCUUCUAACGUCUUCCUAAGCACAAAUGCGUGCGUCCUUGACGCUUGAGCUUGCGUCGUGUCGCCGGGGGGGCCAAACAUGUCACGCGCUAAGCGAACGCACAAGAAGAAUUUAACGUCCGCCAGAAAAACAAAGACGCACUUUUCCUCCUCGACACUCGCGCGCAUUUUGCUUGAAACUCAAGCCUUGUGGUCUCGCGGCACACACACACACACACACACACACACACACACACGCACACGCACUCACACACAUAUCUGCUUCUCAUCCAGGCCCUUCGUCCAACCUCCUUUUGUCGUACCUUUAAGGGCGUGAGCAACAAUGGUCUGACAAGAUCGAGGAGGUGCGAGGGCGGGAGACAAAGGGAGCGCGGCGGAGGUGAGAGAAGAGGAAAUAAAAGGUGGUGCCGUAGGAAAGGAGACAAAAGGAGGAGUGUUAAGGAUCUGAGGCCAGGCACAGCGAGGAAGAAGAGAGUACAAGAGGAGGGGAGAGGAAGAUGGUAGUUUAAGCAUGGGGCGGUAGGAAUGGAGAAGAUAUGGUGGAAAUAGGGGAGGAGACAAAAUAGGGGGGGGGUAUGGAUACGCUGGGAGGAGGUGAGGUUGAAGAGGGGAGGGGCGAGAAGAGGAAGUGUCGAGGCGCUCUCAGAGCAGGUACGAAAAGAGUCCCUCUUGCUGCAACACGUCAUUAAAAAUGUAAUUCAUCUCUGUUCCAGCAGAGGGCAGUAAGUGGCCAGAGUAUCAAACGAUGCCAUUUAAAAUCAUUUCAAUUAAAAAAAAAAAAAGAAAAGAAAA
Long non-coding RNA from Hippocampus zosterae (dwarf seahorse), 2498 nucleotides. RefSeq lists it as uncharacterized. NCBI's taxonomy places the organism in Eukaryota, Metazoa, Chordata, Actinopteri, Syngnathiformes, Syngnathidae. The transcript has 2 exons. The record is from RefSeq and is a predicted model, not a curated record.